GAUGAAGAACGUAGUGAAAUGCGAUAAGUAAUGUGAAUUGCAGAAUUCAGUGAAUCAUCGAAUCUUUGAACGCACAUUGCGCCCGUCAGUAUUCUGGCGGGCAUGCCUGUUCGAGCGUCAUUACGCCCCUCAAGUCCCCUGUGGACUUGGUGUUGGGGAUCGGCGAGGCUGGUUUUCCAGCACAGCCGUCCCUUAAAUUAAUUGGCGGUCUCGCCGUGGCCCUCCUCUGCGCAGUAGUAAAACACUCGCAACAGGAGCCCGGCGCGAUCCACUGCCGUAAAACCCCCCAACUUUUUAUAGUUGACCUCGAAUCAGGUAGGACUACCCGCUGAACUUAAGCAUAUCAAUAAGCGGAGGA
Molecule: unclassified non-coding RNA, 358 nt
Filed under: soil metagenome
Description: partial contains 5.8S ribosomal RNA, internal transcribed spacer 2, and large subunit ribosomal RNA
Rfam family: 5.8S ribosomal RNA (bases 1-120)
Source: RNAcentral